GUUGCUCUGAUGAUAAAAACCUUAAAAAUAUUAACGACAUCGAAACAAAAAAAGCUUGAAAAGCCAUGAUAUUUAUAAUGAUAGGACUGAUAAC
RNAcentral lists this small nucleolar RNA (94 nucleotides) under Drosophila yakuba. RNAcentral describes it as "snoRNA:GE27129". Lineage: Eukaryota; Metazoa; Arthropoda; Insecta; Diptera; Drosophilidae. The record is from RNAcentral.